Molecule: ribosomal RNA, 494 nt
Filed under: Bacillus pumilus
Lineage: Bacteria; Bacillati; Bacillota; Bacilli; Caryophanales; Bacillaceae
Description: bacterial SSU rRNA
Rfam family: Bacterial small subunit ribosomal RNA
Source: RNAcentral
UGGAGAGUUUGAUCCUGGCUCAGGACGAACGCUGGCGGCGUGCCUAAUACAUGCAAGUCGAGCGGCGAGAAGGGAGCUUGCUCCCGGAUGUUAGCGGCGGACGGGUGAGUAACACGUGGGUAACCUGCCUGUAAGACUGGGAUAACUCCGGGAAACCGGAGCUAAUACCGGAUAGUUCCUUGAACCGCAUGGUUCAAGGAUGAAAGACGGUUUCGGCUGUCACUUACAGAUGGACCCGCGGCGCAUUAGCUAGUUGGUGGGGUAAUGGCUCACCAAGGCGACGAUGCGUAGCCGACCUGAGAGGGUGAUCGGCCACACUGGGACUGAGACACGGCCCAGACUCCUAGGGAGGCAGCAGUAGGGAAUCUUCCGCAAUGGACGAAAGUCUGACGGAGCAACGCCGCGUGAGUGAUGAAGGUUUUCGGAUCGUAAAGCUCUGUUGUUAGGGAAGAACAAGUGCGAGAGUAACUGCUCGCACCUUGUCGGUACCUAAC